This 408-nucleotide ribosomal RNA is filed under the name uncultured bacterium. RNAcentral describes it as "partial 16S ribosomal RNA". It matches the Rfam family "Bacterial small subunit ribosomal RNA", at positions 28 to 526 of the family's 1533-position model. The record is from RNAcentral.
GACGAACGCUGACGGCGUGCUUAACACAUGCAAGUCGAAGGGAGUGGCGAACGGGUGAGUAACACGUGAGUAACCUGCCCUUUUCUUUGGGAUAAGCCUGGGAAACUGGGUAUCAUACUGGAUGGAUUGGGAGGGGGCCGAGGCUUGUAAGCUUGUUGGUGGGGUGAUGGCUUACCAAGGCUUUGACGGGUAGCCGGCCUGAGAGGGUGGUCGGUCACACGGGGACUGAGAUACGGCCCAGACGCCUACGGGAGGCAGCAGUGGGGGAUAUUGCACAAUGUACGAAAGUCUGAUGCAGCGACGUCGUGUGGGGGAUGAAGGCCUUCGGGUUGUAAACUCCUUUCGCCCGCGGAAUGGUAGUGGGUAAAGAAGCGCCGGCUAACUACGUGCCAGCAGCCGCGGUAAUUC